Molecule: ribosomal RNA, 432 nt
Filed under: uncultured bacterium
Lineage: Bacteria
Description: partial 16S ribosomal RNA
Rfam family: Bacterial small subunit ribosomal RNA
Source: RNAcentral
AACGAACGCUGGCGGCAUGCCUAACACAUGCAAGUCGAACGAGACCUUCGGGUCUAGUGGCGCACGGGUGCGUAACGCGUGGGAUCCUGCCCUUAGGUUCGGAAUAACUCCCCGAAAGGGGUGCUAAUACCGGAUAAUGUCUUCGGACCAAAGAUUUAUCGCCUUUGGAUGGGCCCGCGUUGGAUUAGCUAGUUGGUAGGGUAAAAGCCUACCAAGGCGACGAUCCAUAGCUGGUCUGAGAGGAUGAUCAGCCACACUGGGACUGAGACACGGCCCAGACUCCUACGGGAGGCAGCAGUGGGGAAUAUUGGACAAUGGGCGAAAGCCUGAUCCAGCAAUGCCGCGUGAGUGAUGAAGGCCUUAGGGUUGUAAAGCUCUUUUACCCGGGAUGAUAAUGACAGUACCGGGAGAAUAAGCUCCGGCUAACUCCGU